AUUGAACGCUGGCGGCAGGCUUAACACAUGCAAGUCGAACGAUGAUUAUCUAGCUUGCUAGUUAUGAUUAGUGGCGGACGGGUGAGUAACAUUUAGGAAUCUGCCUAGUAGUGGGGGAUAGCUCGGGGAAACUCGAAUUAAUACCGCAUACGACCUACGGGUGAAAGGGGGCGCAAGCUCUUGCUAUUAGAUGAGCCUAAAUCAGAUUAGCUAGUUGGUGGGGUAAAGGCCCACCAAGGCGACGAUCUGUAACUGGUCUGAGAGGAUGAUCAGUCACACCGGAACUGAGACACGGUCCGGACUCCUACGGGAGGCAGCAGUGGGGAAUAUUGGACAAUGGGGGCAACCCUGAUCCAGCCAUGCCGCGUGUGUGAAGAAGGCCUUUUGGUUGUAAAGCACUUUAAGCAGGGAGGAGAGGCUAAUGGUUAAUACCCAUUAGAUUAGACGUUACCUGCAGAAUAAGCACCGGCUAACUCUGUGCCAGCAGCCGCGGUAAUACAGAGGGUGCGAGCGUUAAUCGGAAUUACUGGGCGUAAAGCGAGUGUAGGUGGCUCAUUAAGUCACAUGUGAAAUCCCCGGGCUUAACCUGGGAACUGCAUGUGAUACUGGUGGUGCUAGAAUAUGUGAGAGGGAAGUAGAAUUCCAGGUGUAGCGGUGAAAUGCGUAGAGAUCUGGAGGAAUACCGAUGGCGAAGGCAGCUUCCUGGCAUAAUAUUGACACUGAGAUUCGAAAGCGUGGGUAGCAAACAGGAUUAGAUACCCUGGUAGUCCACGCCGUAAACGAUGUCUACUAGCCGUUGGGGUCCUUGAGACUUUAGUGGCGCAGUUAACGCGAUAAGUAGACCGCCUGGGGAGUACGGCCGCAAGGUUAAAACUCAAAUGAAUUGACGGGGGCCCGCACAAGCGGUGGAGCAUGUGGUUUAAUUCGAUGCAACGCGAAGAACCUUACCUGGUCUUGACAUAGUGAGAAUCCUGCAGAGAUGCGGGAGUGCCUUCGGGAAUUCACAUACAGGUGCUGCAUGGCUGUCGUCAGCUCGUGUCGUGAGAUGUUGGGUUAAGUCCCGCAACGAGCGCAACCCUUUUCCUUAUUUGCCAGCGGGUUAAGCCGGGAACUUUAAGGAUACUGCCAGUGACAAACUGGAGGAAGGCGGGGACGACGUCAAGUCAUCAUGGCCCUUACGACCAGGGCUACACACGUGCUACAAUGGUAGGUACAGAGGGUUGCUACACAGCGAUGUGAUGCUAAUCUCAAAAAGCCUAUCGUAGUCCGGAUUGGAGUCUGCAACUCGACUCCAUGAAGUCGGAAUCGCUAGUAAUCGCAGAUCAGAAUGCUGCGGUGAAUACGUUCCCGGGCCU
Molecule: ribosomal RNA, 1355 nt
Filed under: uncultured bacterium
Lineage: Bacteria
Description: bacterial SSU rRNA
Rfam family: Bacterial small subunit ribosomal RNA
Source: RNAcentral